GAGGCUGUGGAACAGCAAAUAUUGCAGAACAGAAAAUACUGCUGCCUGAUCCUUCCUCUGGAAACUUCGUCCUAGAGUGGCACCCACCUACAUGAGAUGUGCUGUUCUUGACGUCCUUACUUCUGUCCUCAGAAUCAUAUCUUCGCAUCUGAAAGAAGGCAACAGCAUUGAGCAACAAUCUGGGACUCUAUUUGAUAUCUUCCCUUGAGAAGUGUUAAAUGUUGCCAUAAUCUUGACAGUUCAAAAGUUAGUCAUGUGGUUGAUAUUUUACCAAUGAGAUGAAUGUGACUGUAAUAUGGGCAAAUCCCACCUACCAUAAAAGCUGGCAAUACUUGCCUAAUAUUGAAGGAAGGAGACAUUUAGAGCAAGCCAGGAAGCUGGAACACCGGAUCAGGAACAGACACUUCUCCGCAAGUUUAGAGUUUGGUAUUUCUCAAGUCCUGGCCUGAGGGAUGUUUACUCUCAGGUUAUACAAAGUCCCAGCUUGGGUUCUGGAAAAAUUGAACUGACAACUUUGCCUGAAAGAAGUUUCUUGCUAACUCCUAGGUACAUCUUGAUUUUAUUAGACCAUGGCUAUUAUUGUGAGGUUUAUUCAGAGCAAUGAAGAUGUCACUCACCGUGUCAAAUUCAUAGGUAUGGUGGCCUUUAUUACCUGGCAACAUGCAUUUUGUUAUACAUCAAAUCCAUGUAGGGCCAUAUUAUCUGGAUCUCAGAUGUUACUGAGAAAUGUUGUAAGGUAAAUAGAUUUUUUGGGGAAUAUCUUGGACUUAGCACACUUUACUUAAUAGAAAUAUAUUUAUUGUCUUCACUUUUAAGUUACUCUGCCACUUUGCCAUUCAACCUCUAUUGGCUCUUUAUUAACUUCAAUUAGAUUUUUCCUUCUCUUUUCCUUUAGAGAUAAAAUUAAAUAAAAAUAAAAACUUCUAAAGCAAACUCUAUUCCUUUAUAAAUACUGUCUAAACGUGCCAGUGGUGUGUCCAAUUUUAGACACAAGAGCUUAAAGUUGAAUGCAAAUUUUGAUUUUCUUUAUAAAUGAGAUGAUGAAAAUCUAUUGUGAAAAGGUUAUGAGAAAAAAGCUUAUCUUGUAAUUGCAGCCAAGAUCCAAGCCAUUAUUUAAGACGUGAAGCAUUUGGCAACAAAGAGAUUGUUGUCAUUAAAAAGGAAGCCCAACGCAUUAUUCUUGGGCUGAGAAAAAAUAAUUUAGCUGUCAUUGUUAUUUAAGGAGUAACACCGGAAGAUGGGAGACAUUAAAAUAAGCAGCUUUACCUCAAGAAGUGUAAUAUCUUCUUUUCCCUCUAAGAUGCAGAGGUAGUUAAUAAACAUUUGAUGAUUGAUUUAAACAUAUUAGAGAGAGAUUCACUUGUUAGUAUUUAUCAUCUAGCUAAAUUGUAUUUUUUUAAUGUAUACAACUGAGAUGAAGCCAAUAGAACUUUACCACAGUGGUUGUAAAGAGAUAAGAAAUUAUUAUUUCUCAUUAUACCAUCAGCAGACUGAGGUCUGUAACUUGAUACUUAUGCAAAAGAUUACUAAAUUGGUAGCUAUUCUUAUAAAAUAUUCACUUUAGGAAAGAAGGUGAGAAUGAGGCCACUGACGUCAUCUUGGCUUGGUUUACUUAAGCCUGGGCAAAGAGGGAAAAGGGCACUGGAGAUUU
RNAcentral lists this long non-coding RNA (1651 nucleotides) under Homo sapiens (human). RNAcentral describes it as "HSALNT0313135". The record is from RNAcentral. Lineage: Eukaryota; Metazoa; Chordata; Mammalia; Primates; Hominidae.